Molecule: ribosomal RNA, 501 nt
Filed under: uncultured bacterium
Lineage: Bacteria
Description: partial 16S ribosomal RNA
Rfam family: Bacterial small subunit ribosomal RNA
Source: RNAcentral
AUUGAACGCUGGCGGCAGGCCUAACACAUGCAAGUCGAGCGGGGGAAGGUAGCUUGCUACUGGACCUAGCGGCGGACGGGUGAGUAAUGCUUAGGAAUCUGCCUCUUAGUGGGGGACAACAUCUCGAAAGGGAUGCUAAUACCGCAUACGUCCUACGGGAGAAAGCAGGGGAUCUUCGGACCUUGCGCUAAUAGAUGAGCCGAAGUCGGAUUAGCCAGGUGGUGGGGUAAAGGCCUACCAAGGCGACGAUCUGUAGCGGGUCUGGGAGGAUGAUCCGCCACACGGGGACUGAGACACGGCCCAGACUCCUACGGGAGGCAGCAGUGGGGAAUAUUGGACAAUGGGGGGAACCCUGAUCCAGCCAUGCCGCGUGUGUGAAGAAGGCCUUAUGGUUGUAAAGCACUUUAAGCGAGGAGGAGGCUACUUUAGUUAAUACCUAGAGAUAGUGGACGUUACUCGCAGAAUAAGCACCGGCUAACUCUGUGCCAGCAGCCGCCGUAA